GGCGAGAUAGCUCAGGUGGUUAGAGCGUCGGAUUCAUAACCCGGAGGUCGAGGGUUCAAUUCCCUCUCUCGCUA
RNAcentral lists this transfer RNA (74 nucleotides) under Bacteroidales bacterium. RNAcentral's name for it is "tRNA-Met". It matches the Rfam family "tRNA". Rfam says of the family: Transfer RNA (tRNA) molecules are approximately 80 nucleotides in length. The record is from RNAcentral. Lineage: Bacteria; Pseudomonadati; Bacteroidota; Bacteroidia; Bacteroidales. RNAcentral also lists the same sequence under 1 other name.